UUUGAUCCUGGCUCAGAAUCAACGCUGGCGGCGCGCUUAACACAUGCAAGUCGCACGAGAAAGUGGAGCAAUCCAUGAGUAAAGUGGCGUACGGGUGAGUAACACGUGGAUUAUCUACCUCUUGGUGGGGAAUAACCUUGGGAAACCGGGGCUAAUACCGCAUAAGCCUGGAAAGGGAAAGCAGCAAUGCGCCGAGAGAGGAGUCCGCGGCCGAUUAGCUAGUUGGUAGGGUAAUGGCCUACCAAGGCAAUGAUCGGUAGCCGGCCUGAGAGGGCACACGGCCACACUGGCACUGAAACACGGGCCAGACUCCUACGGGAGGCAGCAGUGGGGAAUCUUGCACAAUGGGGGAAACCCUGAUGCAGCGACGCCGCGUGAGCGAUGAAGCCCUUCGGGGUGUAAAGCUCUUUCGGCAGGAACGAUAAUGACGGUACCUGAAGAAGAAGCUGCGGCUAACUACGUGCCAGCA
RNAcentral lists this ribosomal RNA (469 nucleotides) under uncultured Actinomycetes bacterium. Its description in RNAcentral is "bacterial SSU rRNA". It matches the Rfam family "Bacterial small subunit ribosomal RNA", at positions 12 to 513 of the family's 1533-position model. Lineage: Bacteria; Bacillati; Actinomycetota; Actinomycetes. The record is from RNAcentral.